RNAcentral lists this ribosomal RNA (396 nucleotides) under Lepidochelys kempii (Atlantic ridley). RNAcentral describes it as "partial 12S ribosomal RNA". It matches the Rfam family "Bacterial small subunit ribosomal RNA", at positions 794 to 1384 of the family's 1533-position model. Lineage: Eukaryota; Metazoa; Chordata; Testudines; Cheloniidae. The record is from RNAcentral.
GCUUAGCCCUAAACUUAGAUUUUUUUCCGCACAAAAAUAUCCGCCAGAGAACUACGAGCAUAAACGCUUAAAACUCUAAGGACUUGGCGGUACCUCAAACCCUCCUAGAGGAGCCUGUUCUAUAAUCGAUAAUCCACGAUCUACCUCACCAUCCCUUGCCAAUUCCGCCUAUAUACCACCGUCACCAGCUUACCCCAUGAGAGCACAAAAGUAAGCAAAAUAACCUAAACAGUUAAUAAGUCAGGUCAAGGUGUAGCUAAUUGAGAUGGAAGAAAUGGGCUACAUUUUCUAUCUUAGAAUUAAUCACGGAAGAAUAUCAUGAAAUAGAUUCCACAAGCAGGAUUUAGCAGUAAACUGGGAGCAGAGAGCCCAAUUUAAGCCGGUCCUGAGGUACGC